Molecule: ribosomal RNA, 378 nt
Filed under: uncultured eukaryote
Lineage: Eukaryota
Description: SSU rRNA
Rfam family: Eukaryotic small subunit ribosomal RNA
Source: RNAcentral
AGCUCCAAUAGUGUAUAUUAAAGUUGUUGCGGUUAAAAAGCUCGUAGUUGGAUUUCUGCCAAGGCCGACCGGUCCGUCCUUUGGGUGAGUAUCUGGCUUGACUGGAGCAUCCUCUUGGAGAGCGUUGCUGCACUUGACUGUGUGGUGCGAAACCCAAGACUUUUACUUUGAGGAAAUUAGAGUGUUUCAAGCAGGCUCACGCCUUGAAUACAUUAGCAUGGAAUAAUAAGAUAGGGCCUUGGUUGUAUUUUGUUGGUUUCUAGAACUGAGGUAAUGAUGAACAGGGAUACUUGGGGGCAUACGAAUUUAACUGUCAGAGGUGAAAUUCUUGGAUUUGUUAAAGACGGACUACUGUGAAAGCAUUUGCCAAGAAUGUUU